Long non-coding RNA from Triticum dicoccoides, 1006 nucleotides. RefSeq lists it as uncharacterized. Lineage: Eukaryota; Viridiplantae; Streptophyta; Magnoliopsida; Poales; Poaceae. The record is from RefSeq and is a predicted model, not a curated record. The transcript is spliced from 4 exons.
UCAGCCGCCGCCACUCCAUCUAUCCUCCUGGUGCCACUCCACCGGCGCCGGCGCUGAACCACCCCGUGCCGCUACACCGCCGCCGGCGCUGAACCACCCCGCGCCGGGCCGCUCCCCACCAUUCCCCUACCAUCGCCAUUCAGAUCUCCCCUAGUCCUACCCCUCAAGCCGAGGUGGCAGUGGCGGCAGCGGGACUGACGGCCGGACUUGGAAGCCCCCGAGGUCACCGCGGUGGGGCAGGCAGCCAAAUUUGUAAGUCCCCGAGGUCACCGGCAGCGGGCACGGAUCCAGCUCCAUCCGACGGAGAGCCCUUGUCGGUCUCAUGGGGAUGGUUAGCUGCAAGGCGGAGCAGAACACAAACGAGUCCUUCACGCUCGACCACGGCACCGACCGCAUCGAUUUCAUUAGAUGUGGCGGAGCUACAAAGAAAAGCCUAGGCAGGCCAAUCUAAAAACCAUGAAAAAAUCAACCCAAGGAAAGGAUGAUGGCUGCCGCUGAAAAGUCUUCCUCAACUCCAUCCGUAACGUAUUUGUUCAAUUUCAGCCUGGAUCACGUAUCUUGGAGUGACAACCCACAUUCAGCUGUUAUAUCUCGAAAUGGCUCACAUGGCAAGUUGGAUUCCAUUCCUGUGCAGGUGAAUUUCGGCUUUCUCUUCUUCUUUUACAUUGUCAUGUAAAUCUGAAAUUACUCAAUAUCAAUUUAUGUAUGCAACAGUAUUUAACUACUAGGUGUAAAUGUAAAAAAUGUUGAUAUAACUUCAAACAUUUUAAUUUUGGAAGACAAUGAUUACCCCAAUCCAAUUGGAGUUCAGUUAGCGUUUACUAUUGCUCACUUGUUAUACAGUGUACUGUCUAUCUAUGUUAGACCACUUCUUGGUUCUUUUAGGAAUGGUAAAUCUCACCAUGGACUCAUUGUUUGGGCAAAAAAAAAAACACUUGUGUUUAUUAUUAGUAAUAUUAUGCCAAUUGGCAAUUAUUACUGAGCAAACAGAGACAGAGGUGAUGGU